This 274-nucleotide ribosomal RNA is filed under the name uncultured Prevotella sp. RNAcentral's name for it is "partial 16S ribosomal RNA". It matches the Rfam family "Bacterial small subunit ribosomal RNA", at positions 83 to 355 of the family's 1533-position model. The record is from RNAcentral. Lineage: Bacteria; Pseudomonadati; Bacteroidota; Bacteroidia; Bacteroidales; Prevotellaceae.
CCUUGAUGACGACUGGCGCACGGGUGAGUAACGCGUAUCCAACCUUCCCAUAACUACGGGAUAACCCGUUGAAAGACGGCCUAAUACCGUAUGACAUCGUUUGCUGACAUCAAAUAACGAUUAAAGGUUUAGCGGUUAUGGAUGGGGAUGCGUCUGAUUAGCUUGUUGGCGGGGUAACGGCCCACCAAGGCAACGAUCAGUAGGGGUUCUGAGAGGAAGGUCCCCCCACAUUGGAACUGAGACACGGUCCAAACUCCUACGGGAGGCAGCAGUC